Molecule: ribosomal RNA, 253 nt
Filed under: uncultured prokaryote
Description: partial 16S ribosomal RNA
Rfam family: Bacterial small subunit ribosomal RNA
Source: RNAcentral
UACGGAGGGUGCAAGCGUUAAUCGGAAUUACUGGGCGUAAAGCGCACGCAGGCGGUCUGCGAAGUUUGGAGUGACAGUUGGUGGCUCAACCACCAAAGUGCUUUGAAAACUGACAGACUUGAGGGCUUCAGAGGGACACGGAAUUCCGGGUGGAGUGGUGAAAUGCGUAGAGAUCCGGAGGAACACCAAAGGCGAAGGCAGUGUCCUGGGGAGUACCUGACGCUCAGGUGCGAAAGCCAGGGGAGCGAACGGG